GGAGCUUUGGCAGACUUGGUGUAUGUGCGGGACUGAAAAUCCCGAAAACGUGGUUCGACUCCACGAGGCUCCAC
Molecule: transfer RNA, 74 nt
Filed under: Phocaeicola vulgatus
Lineage: Bacteria; Pseudomonadati; Bacteroidota; Bacteroidia; Bacteroidales; Bacteroidaceae
Description: Bacteroides vulgatus tRNA-Phe
Rfam family: tRNA
About the family: Transfer RNA (tRNA) molecules are approximately 80 nucleotides in length.
Source: RNAcentral